AUUGAACGCUGGCGGCAUGCCUUACACAUGCAAGUCGAACGGUAACAGGUCUUCGGACGCUGACGAGUGGCGAACGGGUGAGUAAUGCAUCGGAACGUGCCCAGUCGUGGGGGAUAACUGCUCGAAAGAGCAGCUAAUACCGCAUACGACCUGAGGGUGAAAGCGGGGGACCGUAAGGCCUCGCGCGAUUGGAGCGGCCGAUGUCAGAUUAGCUAGUUGGUGGGGUAAAGGCCUACCAAGGCAACGAUCUGUAGUUGGUCUGAGAGGACGACCAGCCACACUGGGACUGAGACACGGCCCAGACUCCUACGGGAGGCAGCAGUGGGGAAUUUUGGACAAUGGGCGCAAGCCCUGAUCCAGCAAUGCCGCGUGCAGGAAAGAAGGGCCUUUCGGGUUGUAAAACUGCUUUUGU
This 412-nucleotide ribosomal RNA is filed under the name Comamonadaceae bacterium oral taxon A82. RNAcentral describes it as "bacterial SSU rRNA". It matches the Rfam family "Bacterial small subunit ribosomal RNA", at positions 30 to 439 of the family's 1533-position model. The record is from RNAcentral. Lineage: Bacteria; Pseudomonadati; Pseudomonadota; Betaproteobacteria; Burkholderiales; Comamonadaceae.